RNAcentral lists this ribosomal RNA (301 nucleotides) under uncultured bacterium. RNAcentral's name for it is "partial 16S ribosomal RNA". It matches the Rfam family "Bacterial small subunit ribosomal RNA", at positions 509 to 807 of the family's 1533-position model. The record is from RNAcentral.
CAGUCGCCGCGGGAAUACGAAGGGGGCUAGCGUUGUUCGGAAUUACUGGGCGUAAGGCGCACGUAGGCGGAUAUUUAAGUCAGGGGUGAAAUCCCGCAGCUCAACUGCAGAACUGCCUUUGAUACUGGGUAUCUUGAGUAUGGAAGAGGUUAGUGGAAUUGCGAGUGUAGAGGUGAAAUUCGUAGAUAUUCGCAGGAACACCAGUGGCGAAGGCGGCUAACUGGUCCAUAACUGACGCUGAGGUGCGAAAGCGUGGGGAGCAAACAGGAUUAGAUACCCCCGUAGUCCCUGUCUCUUAUAC